RNAcentral lists this transfer RNA (72 nucleotides) under Ictidomys tridecemlineatus (thirteen-lined ground squirrel). Its description in RNAcentral is "Spermophilus tridecemlineatus (thirteen-lined ground squirrel) tRNA". It matches the Rfam family "tRNA". Rfam says of the family: Transfer RNA (tRNA) molecules are approximately 80 nucleotides in length. Their secondary structure includes four short double-helical elements and three loops (D, anti-codon, and T loops). The record is from Rfam by way of RNAcentral. Lineage: Eukaryota; Metazoa; Chordata; Mammalia; Rodentia; Sciuridae.
AGGGUUGUGGCUCAGUGGUAGAGCACCAUCCUAGCAUGUGGGAAGCGCUGGGUUCAAUCCUCAGCACUGCUG